This 482-nucleotide ribosomal RNA is filed under the name uncultured bacterium. Its description in RNAcentral is "bacterial SSU rRNA". It matches the Rfam family "Bacterial small subunit ribosomal RNA", at positions 29 to 506 of the family's 1533-position model. The record is from RNAcentral.
UUGAACGCUGGCGGCAUGCCUUACACAUGCAAGUCGAACGGCAGCACGGGGGCAACCCUGGUGGCGAGUGGCGAACGGGUGAGUAAUACAUCGGAACGUGCCCUGAAGUGGGGGAUAACGUAGCGAAAGUUACGCUAAUACCGCAUAUUCUGUGAGCAGGAAAGCGGGGGAUCGCAAGACCUCGCGCGGACGGAGCGGCCGAUGGCAGAUUAGGUAGUUGGUGGGAUAAAAGCUUACCAAGCCGACGAUCUGUAGCUGGUCUGAGAGGACGACCAGCCACACUGGGACUGAGACACGGCCCAGACUCCUACGGGAGGCAGCAGUGGGGAAUUUUGGACAAUGGGCGCAAGCCUGAUCCAGCCAUGCCGCGUGAGUGAAGAAGGCCUUCGGGUUGUAAAGCUCUUUCAGACGGAAAGAAAUCGGGCGGGUGAAUAGCCUGCCUGGAUGACGGUACUGUCAGAAGAAGCACCGGCUAACUACGU